This 253-nucleotide ribosomal RNA is filed under the name uncultured bacterium. Its description in RNAcentral is "partial 16S ribosomal RNA". It matches the Rfam family "Bacterial small subunit ribosomal RNA", at positions 524 to 776 of the family's 1533-position model. The record is from RNAcentral.
UACGGGGGGGGCAAGCGUUGCUCGGAAUUACUGGGCGUAAAGGGCGCGUAGGCGGCCUGCUAAGUCGGACGUGAAAUCCCUCGGCUCAACCGAGGAACUGCGUCCGAUACUGGUGGGCUUGAAUCCGGGAGAGGGAUGUGGAAUUCCAGGUGUAGCGGUGAAAUGCGUAGAUAUCUGGAGGAACACCGGUGGCGAAGGCGGCAUCCUGGACCGGUAUUGACGCUGAGGCGCGAAAGCUAGGGGAGCAAACGGG